Molecule: long non-coding RNA, 341 nt
Organism: Ruditapes philippinarum (Manila clam)
Lineage: Eukaryota; Metazoa; Mollusca; Bivalvia; Venerida; Veneridae
Exons: 3
Source: RefSeq, a predicted model, not a curated record
AAAAGACGACGGCAAUAUUUUUAUUCGCGUUUUUGAAGUUGCAGACAUGAAACUUUUCGAUUUUUUCUACGGUAGAGAAAAUUGUGGGAUAAGGCGAGAAGGUUGCCCCAGAAUUGGGAUUUAUUUGCAAAGGUGAACAUUUGGUUGGACCAUUUGACGAGUGUUUCUGCCAACAGAAAAAGGGGCAAGGCAAAGGCGUCCGAGACACAGUCUUUGAAAAAGGUUCAAGCUUCUAUCCAGGCCCAAGCUCCUAUCAAGGUUCAAGCUCCUAUAUAUCCCGACUCAAGCUCCCAUCCAGGCCCCUGCUCCUAUCCAGGAUUUUGAGGAAAGUGCACCAGAUU